ACGGGAUCUGAACCAGAUCACCAUGAAGAGAAGAAGAAUCCUUCUUCUUCUCUUCUUCUAUCUCUUUUUCUCUCUUAGGUCUGAUCAUCUAUCAGAUCUGGGUGUUGCGGAUGAAGGAAGAAAAGAGGAGGCAUUGGAAGAAAGUUGUUUUUGUGAUGUAAGAAAGAAACUGCCUCUCUUCUUUUCACGUCAAAAUCCUCAUGCCACAAUUUUUUUUUUUUUCACACAAAAACUUUUUCCAUCCCCUUCCAACCAC
This 256-nucleotide long non-coding RNA is filed under the name Elaeis guineensis (African oil palm). RNAcentral's name for it is "long non-coding RNA (EGUI_LNC044881)". Lineage: Eukaryota; Viridiplantae; Streptophyta; Magnoliopsida; Arecales; Arecaceae. The record is from RNAcentral.